CACGUAGGGUGCGAGCGUUGUCCGGAAUUAUUGGGCGUAAAGAGCUCGUAGGCGGUGUGUCGCGUCGGCCGUGAAAACCUGCAGCUUAACUGUGGGCUUGCGGUCGAUACGGGCAUCACUGGAGUUCGGCAGGGGAGACUGGAAUUCCUGGUGUAGCGGUGAAAUGCGCAGAUAUCAGGAGGAACACCGGUGGCGAAGGCGGGUCUCUGGGCCGAUACUGACACUGAGGCGCGAAAGCUAGGGGAGCGAACGGG
Molecule: ribosomal RNA, 254 nt
Filed under: uncultured bacterium
Lineage: Bacteria
Description: partial 16S ribosomal RNA
Rfam family: Bacterial small subunit ribosomal RNA
Source: RNAcentral